UGAGCAAUCUGCCCUUCUCAUCGGAAUAACCAUUGGAAACGAUGGCUAAUGCCGAAUAUGACCUCGGAUCACAUGUUCUGAGGUGGAAAGCUCCGGCGGAGAAGGAUGAGCUCGCGGCCUAUCAGCUUGUUGGUGAGGUAAUGGCCCACCAAGGCGACGACGGGUAGCCGGCCUGAGAGGGUGACCGGCCACACUGGGACUGAGACACGGCCCAGAUCCUACGGG
This 225-nucleotide ribosomal RNA is filed under the name uncultured bacterium. Its description in RNAcentral is "partial 16S ribosomal RNA". It matches the Rfam family "Bacterial small subunit ribosomal RNA", at positions 118 to 345 of the family's 1533-position model. The record is from RNAcentral.